RNAcentral lists this transfer RNA (73 nucleotides) under Anaerolineales bacterium. RNAcentral describes it as "tRNA-Met". It matches the Rfam family "tRNA". From Rfam's summary of the family: Transfer RNA (tRNA) molecules are approximately 80 nucleotides in length. Lineage: Bacteria; Bacillati; Chloroflexota; Anaerolineae; Anaerolineales. The record is from RNAcentral.
GCCGAGGUAGCUCAGUGGUAGAGCAGGGGACUCAUAAGCCCUUGGUCGCGAGUCCGAAUCUCGCCCUCGGCAC